This 28-nucleotide non-coding RNA is filed under the name unclassified sequences. RNAcentral describes it as "L19-Flavobacteria ribosomal protein leader". It matches the Rfam family "L19-Flavobacteria ribosomal protein leader". The record is from RNAcentral.
CAACCUCUGACGAGAAACGUGUAUGUUG